GUGGGGAAUAUUGCGCAAUGGGCGAAAGCCUGACGCAGCGACGCCGCGUGAGGGAUGAAGGUUUUCGGAUCGUAAACCUCUGUCAGAAGGGAAGAAACUACGUUGUGCUAAUCAGCAGCGUACUGACGGUACCUUCAAAGGAAGCACCGGCUAACUCCGUGCCAGCAGCCGCGGUAAUACGGAGGGUGCAAGCGUUAAUCGGAAUUACUGGGCGUAAAGCGCACGUAGGCUGUAGUGUAAGUCAGGGGUGAAAUCCCACGGCUCAACCGUGGAACUGCCUUUGAUACUGCACAACUUGAAUCCGGGAGAGGGUGGCGGAAUUCCAGGUGUAGGAGUGAAAUCCGUAGAUAUCUGGAGGAACAUCAGUGGCGAAGGCGGCCACCUGGACCGGUAUUGACGCUGAGGUGUGAAAGCGUGGGGAGCAAACAGGAUUAGAAACCCUGGUAGUCC
RNAcentral lists this ribosomal RNA (450 nucleotides) under uncultured bacterium. RNAcentral describes it as "partial 16S ribosomal RNA". It matches the Rfam family "Bacterial small subunit ribosomal RNA", at positions 354 to 796 of the family's 1533-position model. The record is from RNAcentral.